AUACGGAGGGUGCAAGCGUUAAUCGGAAUUACUGGGCGUAAAGCGCUCGUAGGCGGCUUGUUAAGUCGGAUGUGAAAGCCCCGGGCUCAACCUGGGAACUGCAUUCGAUACUGGCAGGCUAGAGUAUAGUAGAGGCAAGUGGAAUUCCGGGUGUAGCGGUGAAAUGCGUAGAUAUCCGGAGGAACAUCAGUGGCGAAGGCGACUUGCUGGACUAAUACUGACGCUGAGGAGCGAAAGCGUGGGGAGCAAACCGGAUUAGAUACCCGAGUAGUCC
Molecule: ribosomal RNA, 274 nt
Filed under: uncultured bacterium
Lineage: Bacteria
Description: partial 16S ribosomal RNA
Rfam family: Bacterial small subunit ribosomal RNA
Source: RNAcentral